Molecule: long non-coding RNA, 371 nt
Filed under: Macaca mulatta (Rhesus monkey)
Lineage: Eukaryota; Metazoa; Chordata; Mammalia; Primates; Cercopithecidae
Description: lncRNA (ENSMMUG00000052997.1)
Source: RNAcentral
ACCUCUUUUGAACCUUGAUUGUCAAGAACAGAGGGAGAAGCCCGGACUGCGGCCCACGAACUCAGACAUGCCUGAAAGAGAUAGAAGCUUGACUGCUGGUUUCAUGGAGGAGUUUGCUGCAGGUGUUCAGUUCACAUUUUUCAGCCUGCCAGAAAGCAAGACCAUUGUCAAGCGACUAUAACAUUCUUGUCUUUGGCUACGUCUCUUCUAUCAUCAUUCCCCUUGUAAGUGACUCAGAUUUUAUAUGGAUGUGUAUAUGCUUGAACUAUGCCCUAAGUACCAUAUGUCAUCCUACUUCUUAAAAACCUGACAACAUAUCUCCUUCCUAUUCUUUGUUCUAAUAGCAUACAGCAUAAAGACCUUCCCUCUUU